CCCCUCUCAAGGUCUCAACUGGAGAGUUUCCAGUACUCUACCAGUCUUGACUAGGGGAGGGAGAGUCAUGUAGAGGCAUAUCCAUUCCAUUCCUAGUUUGACCGGUGGCUAGCAAGUGGAAGGCAAUUUGCUACAAGU
Tachyglossus aculeatus (Australian echidna) is the source of this 138-nucleotide small nucleolar RNA. NCBI's taxonomy places the organism in Eukaryota, Metazoa, Chordata, Mammalia, Monotremata, Tachyglossidae. The record is from RefSeq and is a predicted model, not a curated record.